RNAcentral lists this ribosomal RNA (532 nucleotides) under uncultured bacterium. RNAcentral describes it as "partial 16S ribosomal RNA". It matches the Rfam family "Bacterial small subunit ribosomal RNA", at positions 355 to 874 of the family's 1533-position model. The record is from RNAcentral.
UGGGGAAUUUUGGACAAUGGGCGAAAGCCUGAUCCAGCAAUGCCGCGUGUGUGAAGAAGGCCUUCGGGUUGUAAAGCACUUUUGUCCGGAAAGAAAUCCUUGGCUCUAAUACAGUCGGGGGAUGACGGUACCGGAAGAAUAAGCACCGGCUAACUACGUGCCAGCAGCCGCGGUAAUACGUAGGGUGCAAGCGUUAAUCGGAAUUACUGGGCGUAAAGCGUGCGCAGGCGGUUUGCUAAGACCGAUGUGAAAUCCCCGGGCUCAACCUGGGGAACUGCAUUGGCUGACUGGCAGGCUAGAGUAUGGCAGAGGGGGGUUAGAAUUCCACGUGUAGCAGUGAAAUGCGUAGAGAUGUGGAGGAAUACCGAUGGCGAAGGCAGCCCCCUGGGCCAAUACUGACGCUCAUGCACGAAAGCGUGGGGAGCAAACAGGAUUAGAUACCCGUGGUAGUCCACGCCCUAAACGAUGUCAACUAGUUGUUGGGGACUUCAUUUUCCUUAGUAACGUAGCUAACGCGUGAAGUUGACCGCCU